AUUGAACGCUGGCGGCAUGCUUUACACAUGCAAGUCGAACGGUAACAGGUUAAGCUGACGAGUGGCGAACGGGUGAGUAAUGCAUCGGAACGUGCCCGGUCGUGGGGGAUAACGCAGCGAAAGCUGCGCCAAUACCGCAUACGAUCUGAGGAUGAAAGCGGGGGACCGUAAGGCCUCGCGCGAUCGGAGCGGCCGAUGUCAGAUUAGGUAGUUGGUGGGGUAAAGGCUCACCAAGCCAACGAUCUGUAGCUGGUCAGAGAGGACGACCGGCCACACUGGGACUGAGACACGGCCCAGACUCCUACGGGAGGCAGCAGUGGGGAAUUUUGGACAAUGGGCGAAAGCCUGAUCCAGCAAUGCCGCGUGCAGGAAGAAGGCCUUCGGGUUGUAAACUGCUUUUGUACGGAGCGAAAAGGUCUCCUCUAAUACAGGGGGCUCAUGACGGUACCGUAAGAAUAAGCACCGGCUAACUACGUGCCAGCCGCCGCAGUAA
This 493-nucleotide ribosomal RNA is filed under the name uncultured bacterium. RNAcentral describes it as "partial 16S ribosomal RNA". It matches the Rfam family "Bacterial small subunit ribosomal RNA", at positions 29 to 523 of the family's 1533-position model. The record is from RNAcentral.